CAAUGGUAUCACAGGGUUGUAUAAAAGCUGGCAUACAAAAUAUAUUUAUUGAUCAAACUUUCAUAUGAGAACUAUUGCAUUUGCCUAUGUAAGUACAUUUUUAGUCAUUUAUAAUUAAGAAUUAAAUGUUAAUAUUUUACUAUUGUUAUAGUUCGUUCUUAUAUUGUACUUAUCCACCACUGUCCCAGUUUAGGGGAGGGUUAAGAUCCUGCUAAUAUUUUUAACCUUACCACAUGCUGAAUGUAUUUUUUCCAGAAUCCGGAGCUUGUAAUUCAUUGAAUGUCGUUUUUUUUGUGUUCAAUUGUUGCUUUUCGUUCAUGUUUUGUACAUUAACUAUGCCGUUAGUUUUCUCGUUUAAAAAGUUUUACAUUUGUCAUUGUCCUUUAUAGCUGAUCAUUCGGUAUGGGCUUUGCUAAUUGCUGAAGUCGGUUCGGUGAUCUAAAUUUGUUUAUUUUUGUGUCAUUUCGUCUCUUGUGGAGAGCUGUCUCAUUGGCAACAAUUCAAAUGAGAAAAAUGACGGCCUAAUUUAUGUACAAAAAAAGCGUGAAAAACAAAUACUUAAGACAUCAACAAACGACAACCACUGAGUGACAAGCUCCUGGGGUUGGACAGGCACAUACUUGAAGAAAGUUCUUAGUCUGCUUGUAGAUGUUAUUAUAGGAAACUUAUUUUGGUUAACAAUUUAAAAAUCAGUAUUAGGUUAACAAACAGCGGAAUGCAAUCGACUUGCAUUCGUCGGAAUAGUAUACAUAUUGUGUCAAAGAGGUCUUUUGCCGAUAGUUUUGUCUAAGCACGUGACAGUAAGAAUUUUCUUAGAACAAUUAUUUUUUUAUUUAAGAUGGUACCCAACACUUUCACUAAAAUUAAUUUGGCUCGUUUAAUGUUCAUUAAAUUUUGACAAAUUAUUUACUUUGACCCUUUGACAAAAAUAUAGAAAUUUCAAAAAUAUUGAACCAACCGCUUUAUCAGAAAAAAUACACUGGUUAUAUAGCAGUUUCACAAACACUUACUUUGAUCAUUGAGAAACUUAAUAUUCCCUUGAAACACAACGUUAUUAAAACGUUUAGAAGAUUUUACACAGUUAUCUCCCUGUAGUAUUAGGUACCACCUUAAAACAAAAAAGGAAAUCAAAGUUGUAUCGCAAAAAGACAAAAAUAAUUGGUUAAGAAGUUACACUGCAGAACGCUAUAGGACAAUUUUUGCUAAUAUAAUAUACUCUUUUAUCAUUUACAUACUGUCUAACUGAUUUGUAUAUGAUGUAUAUCUUUUGUAGUAUCUAGCACAAAAUUAACUAGAAGCAUGAAGGUGUUUGUUUGUUUGGUAGCUUGUAUGUUAUUAAUGUCUAUUGGAGGUAAGAAAAUAACGAGAACGCCAUGUUAACAUGUACGUUUAAGUGAUACUGGUAAACAUAGUUUUAUUGUACUUUUUUCCGAUGUACCAAGAUAAAAAGAAACUAAAUACUUACACAUAAAAAGCAAGGAAUCUUUGUUUUCAUCAAUUUUCCAUCAGAAAUACUUAUAUGGGUUGACAGCUAUCUGUUCUGUUUUCACAGCUGAACCAUAACACACUUAGGUUCAUUUGUUAUCUAGAUAUUUCCAACAACAUUUAAUAGAUGCAAAAAAAAAAGCUGUCAGUUUAAGAAAAAAAAACAUUUUUAAAAGUAAUGAAGACAGUACGUUGGUGUACUGAUGUGUGUAGUAUAGUGUUUUGUUUUAGAUUGAUGUCUAUUAACGUGUACAUAAAAUCAUCAUCUAUUUUUAUUCAAAUUUUAAUAUUGAAACUUACAGUUCUUUUUUAGUAAUGAUUUUUUUUGAAAUGAAAACGAUAAUGCUUUUGAUCUUCAAACCAAUUUUUUUGGCAAUUUAUACUUAAAAUAAUAUCAAAAUAACACUGCGAUUGUUUAUAAUUGUUUAUAUUUUGUCUGUUUAUUUUUAAUUUUAAAUGGAUCAUAAUUAGAAAUUACCGUAACCUAAUCUGAACAGUUACAGUUCCUAAUUUACGACUGGUGUAUGUGCAUGAUGAAACAUGCAAACAUGAUCGCGAGAUACAAAUAUAAACACUAUGUUUACUUGUAGUUAGCAUGGCUAAUGACGAAAUGAUGGAAGACAAUGGACUUAUUCAUGAGUAAGUCGGAUAAACCACAAGUGAAUGUUUUUAUUGUUAGAUUCAAUCAAGUGUAAUUAUUUCAGUCUGUCUCAAACGUUUAGCGAGUUUGUUCAAUUUAUUGAUUUUAUUAGAAAUUAUAAGAUAUCAAAGACCAGUGUCCCUUUAACAAAAUGUCAAUUGAAAAUAUGAAAGUAUAAAGGAAUCCGGGUUGUAUCACAGAUAAUUGUAUAUUUCAAAUAGAAAAAGCACAACACUAUACUGUUAAAACCUACCACAACACAUAUGGUGACCAAUGUAUAUCAGACGAGAAAUAACCAAAAAUGCAAAGCUGAUGUAUAAUAAUAGACUAUUCUCUAUGGCAAUAAAUAAAUUAGGAAUGUAUUACUGUGAAACUGUUACACUUUAUAAUUUUGAAAUGAUUCAUGCCUGUAGUUUGCAUCUAUCAUUGUAUCAUGUUGUCAAGUAGCAUUUCACAUUUAUGAUGCAAAAUCAAAGAGAACGUUUGUUUUUGGAAACAUUCACAACCCGCUGUAACUAUAAAUUAAGAUGUUUGACAGUAAUAGUAUGAUAUUCAGCAUCGAAGUUUCAACAUGGGAAAUAAACAUUUAUCAAACUAAAAUAAACACAGUGUUAAUUAAAUCAGACGUGCUGAUGAACUUGCGUAAGGUUUAACUUAUCCAACACUAUCGCUUACAAAUAUGAGUUAAGAAAUUCCUACCCCAAGUAAGGUGUGUCUACCGAACAUACACAAUAAGAUCACUCAAACCAACAAAUUAAAUGUAAGGUACUUAAGGCAUUUUUUUAUCGAAAAAAAGUUAUCAAUGCAUCUUGUUUCAGACGUGUAAAAAGAGCUCCGUGUUGGCAAAGAAGAUGUACUUUUAACUUCCAGUGCUGUUAUGGCUAUACCUGUUCAUACAGAAGAUGUGUUCGUAAGAGAGGCUAGUUAAUGCGAUUGUCAAUUCUUUACACGUCCUAGCACGCAUACAAGAUCCAUUAGAGAUAUUGUUACUUUAAAUAUUAGACUUGUGUAAAGAAUAAACUGAAAACUUA
This 3156-nucleotide long non-coding RNA is filed under the name Mytilus galloprovincialis (Mediterranean mussel). The record is from RNAcentral. Lineage: Eukaryota; Metazoa; Mollusca; Bivalvia; Mytilida; Mytilidae.